UCAAACAUAGGAGCAACCAUUGUGCUCCUAGGAAAAAUAUGGGCACUACAGCUCUGUUCUUGGUGACCACCGUGGUCAUGGCCAUGGUCUUCUCACCCUACCUUGUGCAAGGACUAAAAGGUUGUGCAUACAUUAAUUCCUUUGUAUUUUCUUUUACUUUUCACCAGGCAUAUAUUCAAUAUCAACUAUGAAAGGAUGUCUAUAUUACUACAUUUUAGUUUUGUGAUGGUGCAGAAAAUUGUAUUGACUUGCAUGGAGGGAAAUGCGAUAAAGAAACGUGCUCCAAGGUUUGCAAGGCGAAUGGGUAUGUCGACCCAGUUGUGAAAUGCUCGAAUCCCCGAGGCAAAAGUGGCCAGUGUUGUUGUUUUGUGAAAUGCUGUGGGGGGAGAGGGCUUGAUUCCAAGCCGGCUAUGAGAGUAUGAGACUCACAAUGGUGGCUAGUUAUAUGCUUGCGUGACAUGAAUGAUUG
This 469-nucleotide long non-coding RNA is filed under the name Sorghum bicolor (sorghum). RNAcentral's name for it is "long non-coding RNA (SBIC_LNC011645)". Lineage: Eukaryota; Viridiplantae; Streptophyta; Magnoliopsida; Poales; Poaceae. The record is from RNAcentral.